Molecule: ribosomal RNA, 459 nt
Filed under: uncultured bacterium
Lineage: Bacteria
Description: bacterial SSU rRNA
Rfam family: Bacterial small subunit ribosomal RNA
Source: RNAcentral
GAUUAUGGCUCAGAACGAACGCUGGCGGCAUGCCUAACACAUGCAAGUCGAACGAUGGCUUCGGCCAUAGUGGCGCACGGGUGAGUAACACGUGGGAAUCUACCUGACAGUGGGGAAUAACAGAGGGAAACUUCUGCUAAUACCGCAUACGCCCCUUCGGGGGGAAAGAUUUAUCGCUGACAGAUGAGCCCGCGUCCGAUUAGGUAGUUGGUGGGGUAAAGGCCUACCAAGCCUUCGAUCGGUAGCUGGUCUGAGAGGAUGAUCAGCCACACUGGGACUGAGACACGGCCCAGACUCCUACGGGAGGCAGCAGUGGGGAAUAUUGGACAAUGGGCGCAAGCCUGAUCCAGCAAUGCCGCGUGAAUGAUGAAGGCCUUAGGGUUGUAAAGUUCUUUCGGGUGGGACGAUGAUGACGGUACCACCAGAAGAAGCCCCGGCUAACUUCGUGCCAGCCGCCGC